CUGGCCUCACGGCCCGAGUUGUAAUUUGCAGAGGACGUCUCGGGCGCGGCGCCGGUCUAAGUUCCUUGGAACAGGACGUCACAGAGGGUGAGAAUCCCGUACGUGACCGGCCGUCAACCCCAUGUGAGGCCCCUUCGACGAGUCGAGUUGUUUGGGAAUGCAGCUCUAAAUGGGUGGUAAAUUUCAUCUAAAGCUAAAUACCGGCCAGAGACCGAUAGCGCACAAGUAGAGUGAUCGAAAGAUGAAAAGCACUUUGGAAAGAGAGUUAAACAGUACGUGAAAUUGUUGAAAGGGAAGCGCUUGCAACCAGACUUGCCCGCGGGUGAUCAGCCGUCUUUCGGGGCGGUGCACUCUCCCGCGAUCAGGCCAGCAUCGGUUCGGGCGGCCAGAUAAAGGCUUCGGGAACGUGACUCCCCCCGGGGAGUGUUAUAGCCCGUCGCGCCAUGUGGUCAGCCGGGACCGAGGACCGCGCUUCGGCUAGGAUGCUGGCGUAAUGGUUGUCAGCGACCCGUCUUGAAACACGGACCAAGGAGUCUACGAAUUUUGCGAGUGUUUGGGCGUCAAACCCAUGCGCGCAAUGAAAGUGAACGGAGGUGGGAACCUUUACCGGGGCACCAUCGACCGGUCCUGAUGUCUUCGGAUGGAUCUGAGUACGAGCAAAAUUCGUGGGACCCGAAAGAUGGUGAACUAUGCGUGUGUAGGGUGAAGCCAGGGGAAACCCUGGUGGAGGCUCGCAGCGGUUCUGACGUGCAAAUCGAUCGUCAAACAUGCGUAUAGGGGCGAAAGGUUGGUGGCGAUACCCGUUGAAUUUUAAAAGAACCAUGCUAACAUAUUUUCCAGACUAAUCGAACCAUCUAGUAGCUGGUUCCUGCCGAAGUUUCCCUCAGGAUAGCAGUAACGUUUUCAGUCUUAUGAGGUAAAGCGAAUGAUUAGAGGCCUUGGGAAAGAAACUUUCUUAACCUAUUCUCAAACUUUAAAUAUGUAAGAAGUCCUUGUUGCUUAAUUGAACGUGGACAUUUGGAUGUACCGUUACUAGUGGGCCAUUUUUGGUAAGCAGAACUGGCGAUGCGGGAUGAACCGAACGUGAGGUUAAGGUGCCGGAAUUUACGCUCAUCAGACACCACAAAAGGUGUCGAUUCAUCCAGACAGCCGGACGGUGGCCAUGGAAGUCGGAAUCCGCUAAGGAGUGUGUAACAACUCACCGGCCGAAUGAAUCGGCCCUGAAAAUGGAUGGCGCUCAAGCGUAAUACCUAUACCUCGCCGC
This 1264-nucleotide ribosomal RNA is filed under the name Trapeliopsis flexuosa. Its description in RNAcentral is "eukaryotic LSU rRNA". It matches the Rfam family "Eukaryotic large subunit ribosomal RNA", at positions 122 to 1355 of the family's 3401-position model. Lineage: Eukaryota; Fungi; Ascomycota; Lecanoromycetes; Trapeliales; Trapeliaceae. The record is from RNAcentral.